Molecule: ribosomal RNA, 466 nt
Filed under: uncultured Chloroflexota bacterium
Lineage: Bacteria; Bacillati; Chloroflexota
Description: bacterial SSU rRNA
Rfam family: Bacterial small subunit ribosomal RNA
Source: RNAcentral
GUAGUUCGACUCCGUGCUACGAGACGACGCUGGCGGCGUGCCUAAUGCAUGCAAGUCGCACGGAGUGUCUUCGGACACUGAGUGGCGCACGGCUGAGGAACACGUGGAUACCUGCCCCGCAGUGGGGGAUAACAGGGCGAAAGCUCUGCUAAUCCCGCAUACGGUCGCCGUAAGGUGAAGAAAGCCGCAAGGCGCUGUGGGAGGGGUCUGCGGCCCAUCAGGUAGUCGGUGGGGUAACGGCCUACCGAGCCAAUGACGGGUAGCUGGUCUGUGAGGACAACCAGCCAGACUGGGACUGAGACACGGCCCAGACUCCUACGGGAGGCAGCAGCAAGGAAUUUUCCCCAAUGGGCGCAAGCCUGAGGGAGCAACGCCGCGUGCAGGAAGACGGCCUUCGGGUUGUAAACUGCUUUUGAGGGAGAAGAGAUGGACGGUAUCCCUCGAAUAAGCCCCGGCUAACUCUGUG